GACGUAGGGGGCGAGCGUUACCCGGAUUCACUGGGCGUAAAGGGCGUCUAGGCGGUUCGGCAAGUCGCCUGUGAAAGCCCCUGGCUCAACUGGGGGAGGCCGGGCGAUACUGCCGGGCUAGAGGGCGGCAGAGGAAGGUGGAACGGCCAGAGUAGCGGUGAAAUGCGUAGAUACUGGCCGGUACCCCGAUGGCGAAGGCAACCUUCUGGGCCGUCCCUGACGCUGAAGCGCGAAAGCGUGGGGAGCGAACCGG
This 253-nucleotide ribosomal RNA is filed under the name uncultured microorganism. Its description in RNAcentral is "partial 16S ribosomal RNA". It matches the Rfam family "Bacterial small subunit ribosomal RNA", at positions 524 to 776 of the family's 1533-position model. The record is from RNAcentral.